GAUGAACGCUGGCGGCGUGCCUAAUACAUGCAAGUCGAGCGAACAGACGAGGAGCUUGCUCCUCUGACGUUAGCGGCGGACGGGUGAGUAACACGUGGAUAACCUACCUAUAAGACUGGGAUAACUUCGGGAAACCGGAGCUAAUACCGGAGAAUAUAUUGAACCGCAUGGUUCAAUAGUGAAAGACGGUUUUGCUGUCACUUAUAGAUGGAUCCGCGCCGCAUUAGCCAGUUGGUAAGGUAACGGCUUACCAAGGCAACGAUGCGUAGCCGACCUGAGAGGGUGAUAGGCGACACUGGAACUGAGACACGGUCCAGGCUCCUACGGGAGGCAGCAGUAGGGAAUCUUCCGCAAUGGGGGAAAGCAUGACGGAGCAACGCCGCGUGAGUGAUGAAGGUCUUCGGAUCGUAAAACUCUGUUAUUAGGGAAGAACAAAUGUGUAAGUAACUAUGCACGUCUUGACGGUACCUAAUCAGAAAGCCACGGCUAACUACGUG
This 497-nucleotide ribosomal RNA is filed under the name uncultured bacterium. Its description in RNAcentral is "partial 16S ribosomal RNA". It matches the Rfam family "Bacterial small subunit ribosomal RNA", at positions 28 to 507 of the family's 1533-position model. The record is from RNAcentral.